Oncorhynchus tshawytscha (Chinook salmon) is the source of this 1064-nucleotide long non-coding RNA. The record is from Ensembl. Lineage: Eukaryota; Metazoa; Chordata; Actinopteri; Salmoniformes; Salmonidae.
UAAUUGCUGCAAAAGGUGGAUCUACAAAGUAUUGACUUUGGUGGGUGAAUAGUUAUGCACGCUCAAGUUCUGUUUUUUUGUCUUAUUUCUAGUUUGUUUCACAAUAAAACAUAUUUUGGUAGGCAUGUUGUGUAAAUCAAAUGAUACAAACCCCCCAAAAAUCAAUUUCAAAUCUAUCUAGAGGAUAGCGAAGGAGUCAGGUGCAGGACACAGGUGCAGGACACAGGUGCAGGACACUGGUGCAGGACACUGGUGCAGGACACAGGCGAAGGACACAUGCGAAGGAGUCAGGUGCAGGACACAGGCGAAGGAGUCAGGUGCAGGACACAGACGAAGGAGUCAGGUGCAGGACACAGGCGAAGGAGUCAGGUGCAGGACACAGGUGCAGGACACAGGCGAAGGAGUCAGGCGCAGGACACAGGUGCAGGACACAGGCGAAGGAGUCAGGUGCAGGACACAGGUGCAGGACACAGGCAAAGGAGUCAGGUGCAGGACACAGGUGCAGGACACAGGUGCAGGACACAGGCGAAGUAGUCAGGUGCAGGACACAGGUGCAGGACACAGGUGCAGGACACAGGCGCAGGACACAGGCGAAGGACACAGGCGAAGGAGUCAGGUGCAGGACACAGGCGAAGGAGUCAGGUGCAGGACACAGGCGAAGGAGUCAGGUGCAGGACACAGGCGAAGGAGACAGGUGAAGGAGACAGGUGCAGGACACAGGCGAAGGAGUCAGGUGCAAGACACAGGCGAAGGAGUCAGGCGCAGGACACAGGCGAAGGAGUCAGGUGCAGGACACAGGCGAAGGAGUCAGGUGCAGGACACAGGCGAAGGAGUCAGGUGCAGGACACAGGCGAAGGAGACAGGUGCAGGACACAGGCAAAGGAGUCAGGUGCAGGACACAGGCGCAGGAGUCAGGUGCAGGACACAGGUGCAGAACACAGGUGCAGGACACAGGCGCAGGACACACGUAAGAGUAAAAAAACACUGUAUUUACUCAAUCCAAGAACCUAACAAAAAUCCCGUUACAAAACAGGACUCGAUCUCUAACACACGAAAGACAAUCA